UACGUAGGGUGCGAGCGUUAAUCGGAAUUACUGGGCGUAAAGCGUGCGCAGGCGGUUAGCCGUGUCCGAAUGGUGAAAGCCCCCGGGCUCAACCUGGGAAUGCAUUGGGAAACUGCUGGCUGGAGUGGUGGCAGAGGGGGUGGAAUUCCACGUGUAGCAGUGAAAUGCGUAGAGAUGUGGAGGAACACCGAUGGACGAAGGCAGCCCCUGGGCCAACACUGACGCUCAGGCACGAAAGCGUGGGAGCAAACAGG
RNAcentral lists this ribosomal RNA (254 nucleotides) under uncultured bacterium. RNAcentral describes it as "partial 16S ribosomal RNA". It matches the Rfam family "Bacterial small subunit ribosomal RNA", at positions 524 to 776 of the family's 1533-position model. The record is from RNAcentral.